Molecule: unclassified non-coding RNA, 278 nt
Filed under: Hevea brasiliensis (rubber tree)
Lineage: Eukaryota; Viridiplantae; Streptophyta; Magnoliopsida; Malpighiales; Euphorbiaceae
Source: RNAcentral
GUUGCCAUCUUAAGUUGUUACUUUAAUCAUCCUUCAUGACUUUAGGAUUAACCCAAUUCUAUUUAAUCUAAUGAAAAUGAGUUGGACGAGACCAUUCUAAAUCAAUUAUUUUAUUUUUGAAGUAAGAUUAAAAAGUGAAUUAAGAUUGAGUUAUGUGUUAUGAUAUUUGGAGAGUGCCCGAUGUGCUUGUGUAAUGCCAGGAAAUUUAAAAAGCAAUGUAAGCAAACAAUUGAUCUAAUAAGUAUAUGGCCUUACCUCACGUGCCCAACCAUCAACGA